This 463-nucleotide ribosomal RNA is filed under the name uncultured bacterium. RNAcentral describes it as "partial 16S ribosomal RNA". It matches the Rfam family "Bacterial small subunit ribosomal RNA", at positions 339 to 795 of the family's 1533-position model. The record is from RNAcentral.
CUACGGGACGCUGCAGUGGGGAAUUUUGCGCAAUGGGCGAAAGCCUGACGCAGCGACGCCGCGUGGAUGAAGAAGGCCCUCGGGUUGUAAAGUCCUGUGGGGAGGGAAGAAUAAGGUAUGGUCAAUACCCAUGCCGAUGACGGUACCUCCUUAGCAAGCACCGGCUAACUCUGUGCCAGCAGCCGCGGUAAUACAGAGGGUGCAAACGUUGUUCGGAAUUACUGGGCGUAAAGCGCGUGUAGGCGGCAAUGCAAGUCGGGUGUGAAAGCCCUGGGCUCAACCGAGGAAGUGCACUCGAAACUGCAUAGCUAGAGUUCUGGAGAGGAUGGUGGAAUUCUUGGUGUAGAGGUGAAAUUCGUAGAUAUCAAGAGGAACACCUGUGGCGAAGGCGGCCAUCUGGACAGUAACUGACGCUGAGACGCGAAAGCGUGGGUAGCAAACAGGAUUAGAUACCCCUGUAGUC